This is a non-coding RNA of Cinara cedri, 238 nucleotides long. The record is from the annotation of a GenBank genome assembly. NCBI's taxonomy places the organism in Eukaryota, Metazoa, Arthropoda, Insecta, Hemiptera, Aphididae.
GCAUACCUGAUUGAGCACUGAACGUUGUCGCCGUAUGCUGUUUUCCUGGCUACCACCGUCAUGUAUACAACGAGUUAUUAUAUUUAUAACACCUAUUGCCAAAUAUAUCGUAAUAUACACGCAUAUGUAUACUGUUCCAGUCAAAUUAAUGGGCAACAUAGAAACAUUAAAUUACUUAAAACGUUAAUUGUAGCGUUUAUUCAAAUUAAAACAGAGCAUUUCUGCGAGUAAAUACAUG